UGUCGACGAUUUUUUCCAUUUUUUUUGCCUUUCUUGUCCCUGUCAGUGUCAAUUCAAAUUCGAUUUUAGGGUUUACAAGUUUCAUUUUUUUGAAACAAUUUUCUGCUUGAAGAUUACGAAUUCGAAAAUGGAAGAUAUUGCAAUGACAUCGUCACCGCUCUCCAAAACGACACAAGAGCUGGCAAUGGAAGGACAGAAACAUCUAGAAGAAACAAUCCAAGCAGCCUAUCAAAUCCUCUCUUCAAUGAACGACGAGCUUUGUAACCCUACUUUAUGGUCCACUACAACUCCCAACACUGCAACCUCGCCUGUUCCGUCGCAAAACGGCAUUGUAAAUGGCGAUUCUGCAUCUGAUGCUUCUAUUCAUCACUUCGACGGAACCACCAAUACUGGCGGUGCCGGUGUUGGUACAGGCAACGGAGCUCUCGAUGAAGCUCGGUUUCGGUAUAAGAACUCAGUAGCUGCUCUUCGUGAGGUUCUCGCGGCGAUCCCUAAUUCUCAUAAGGCAAAAGCAUUUGAAACAAGUUUGGGUUCUCCAGCUGAUCAAGAUGAUGUUGCUAAGUUAGAAGAACAAGCCUCCAAUCUGAGAAAGGAACUUGUUAACAAGAACGCGUAUCUUAAGCUUCUUAUUGAUCAAUUUCGAGAGCUUAUCAAUGAUAUUUCUACAUGGCAAAGUCCCUGCUCUGUCUGAAGUCUUACAGAUGUAUCAUGGGACGAGAUGAGUACAGAGAAAUUAGAGAUUGUUGUCUUCUUAAGAAAAUCUUGGAUCCUCCUGCUGUCUCUGUUUACUACCCACCAUACAACACAAAAUGAGUGGUCAAAUAGCAUAAGGUCCCAUCUCCAUUUAAGAGAGUUCGUUGCGAUCUUAUGUAUUGCAAUUAAAUGCCAACCCAAUUCUGCAUGUAAUGUCAAUCUUAUCUAGUAGUCCCCUAAUGUUACAUAGUGCCAAAACUAGCAGUAUAGUAAAAAAAAAUCCAAAUGUUUGUCGUUUUUAUCAAUUGUAACUAAAUAAUUCUGUUUA
RNA transcript from Mercurialis annua (annual mercury), 1021 nucleotides. It is a transcript of the gene named mediator of RNA polymerase II transcription subunit 30, with no coding region annotated. The transcript has 4 exons. NCBI's taxonomy places the organism in Eukaryota, Viridiplantae, Streptophyta, Magnoliopsida, Malpighiales, Euphorbiaceae. The record is from RefSeq and is a predicted model, not a curated record.